This 492-nucleotide ribosomal RNA is filed under the name uncultured bacterium. RNAcentral's name for it is "partial 16S ribosomal RNA". It matches the Rfam family "Bacterial small subunit ribosomal RNA", at positions 29 to 507 of the family's 1533-position model. The record is from RNAcentral.
AGUGAACGCUGGCGGUAGGCCUAACACAUGCAAGUCGAACGGCAGCACAGUAAGAGCUUGCUCUUACGGGUGGCGAGUGGCGGACGGGUGAGGAAUACAUCGUACUCUACUUUUUCGUGGGGGAUAACGUAGGGAAACUUACUCUAAUACCGCAUACGACCUACGGGUGAAAGCAGGGGAUCUUCGGACCUUGCGCGAUUGAAUGAGCCGAUGUCGGAUUAGCUAGUUGGCGGGGUAAAGGCCCACCAAGGCGACGAUCCGUAGCUGGUCUGAGAGGAGGAUCAGCGACACUGGAACGGGGACACGGACCAGACUCCUACGGGAGGCAGCAGAGGGGAAUAUUGGACAAUGGGCGCAAGCAUGACCCAGCCAUACCGCGUGGGAGAAGAAGGCGUUCGGGUUGUAAAGCCCGUUUGUGGGGAAAGAAAAGCAGCAGGUUAAUACCCCGCUGUUCUGACGGUAACCAAUGAAGAAGCACCGGCUAACUUCGUG